GGUCGUUACUACUUGUAAUAUUCAUGAAAAAGGAAAUAAAUAGUGAACUGAAAACAGGAACAAACCAAUAGCUUGGAAAUUCACAUAGCUGGAUGAAACUAAGGUUUUGGAUGCUGAUAAUUCAGGCAUCAAACUUGCUGAUUAAGACAAGACUACUAAUAUCACUUAUAAGCAAUUUUUUGAACACCAAACUGUCAUUGAACUUAGAUAGUCAGAUAGACAGGAGUUAAAGGUAAAAAUUUCAACAAGUAACCACCAAUCAAGUCUUGCUAACUACAAUGCAAUUUCAAAACUUUCAAGCAUUGAAAUAGGAAUAGGAAAGGUCAAAAGUGUAAAAAUGGU
RNAcentral lists this unclassified non-coding RNA (342 nucleotides) under Hevea brasiliensis (rubber tree). The record is from RNAcentral. Lineage: Eukaryota; Viridiplantae; Streptophyta; Magnoliopsida; Malpighiales; Euphorbiaceae.